Molecule: ribosomal RNA, 253 nt
Filed under: uncultured bacterium
Lineage: Bacteria
Description: partial 16S ribosomal RNA
Rfam family: Bacterial small subunit ribosomal RNA
Source: RNAcentral
UACGUAGGAGGCAAGCGUUGUCCGGAUUUACUGGGCGUAAAGCGUGCGUAGGUGGUUUGUUAAGUCUGUUGUGAAAGCCCCGGGCUCAACCUGGGAAUGGCAAUGGAUACUGGCAGGCUAGAGUGCGGUAGAGGGUAGUGGAAUUCCCGGUGUAGCGGUGAAAUGCGUAGAGAUCGGGAGGAACACCAGUGGCGAAGGCGGCUCUCUGGAACGCAACUGACGCUGAGACGCGAAAGCGUGGGGAGCAAACAGG